Molecule: ribosomal RNA, 497 nt
Filed under: uncultured bacterium
Lineage: Bacteria
Description: partial 16S ribosomal RNA
Rfam family: Bacterial small subunit ribosomal RNA
Source: RNAcentral
GACGAACGCUGGCGGCGUGCCUAAUACAUGCAAGUAGAACGCUGAAGAGAGGAGCUUGCUCUUCUUGGAUGAGUUGCGAACGGGUGAGUAACGCGUAGGUAACCUGCCUUGUAGCGGGGGAUAACUAUUGGAAACGAUAGCUAAUACCGCAUAACAAUGGAUGACACAUGUCAUUUAUUUGAAAGGGGCAAUUGCUCCACUACAAGAUGGACCUGCGUUGUAUUAGCUAGUAGGUGAGGUAAUGGCUCACCUAGGCGACGAUACAUAGCCGACCUGAGAGGGUGAUCGGCCACACUGGGACUGAGACACGGCCCAGACUCCUACGGGAGGCAGCAGUAGGGAAUCUUCGGCAAUGGAGGCAACCCUGACCGAGCAACGCCGCGGGAGGGAAGAAGGUUUUCGGAUCGUAAAGCUCUGUUGUAAGUCAAGAACGGGUGUGAGAGUGGAAAGUUCACACUGUGACGGUAGCUUACCAGAAAGGGACGGCUAACUACGUG